This 276-nucleotide long non-coding RNA is filed under the name Homo sapiens (human). Its description in RNAcentral is "HSALNT0308786". The record is from RNAcentral. Lineage: Eukaryota; Metazoa; Chordata; Mammalia; Primates; Hominidae.
GCAUCUACCAUGUGAGAGCACAGAGAGAAAAUGCUAUCCAAUGGACCCUCGCCAGACACCAAAUCUGCCGGCACCUUGACCUUGGACUUAUCAGCCUACAGAAACAUGCAACACAGAAUAUACAGUUUGAUGUGAGAAAAAACAUGCAACACUUCUAAGGAAGUAAAAUUUAAAUGCAGAAUGAGCAUCUGAAAAAAAUUAUUAGUUUGACAGAUUCAGUACUUUUCUGCUAGCUGAAAUCAAGGACGGCAAGAAGCAGAGGACAUUUGACAGGAA